RNAcentral lists this ribosomal RNA (805 nucleotides) under Gordonia sp. BAB-4323. Its description in RNAcentral is "bacterial SSU rRNA". It matches the Rfam family "Bacterial small subunit ribosomal RNA", at positions 12 to 828 of the family's 1533-position model. Lineage: Bacteria; Bacillati; Actinomycetota; Actinomycetes; Mycobacteriales; Gordoniaceae. The record is from RNAcentral.
UUUGAAUCCUGGCUCAGGACGAACGCUGGCGGCGUGCUUAACACAUGCAAGUCGAACGGAAAGGCCCAGCUUGCUGGGUACUCGAGUGGCGAACGGGUGAGUAACACGUGGGUGAUCUGCCCUGGACUCUGGGAUAAGCCUGGGAAACUGGGUCUAAUACCGGAUAUGACCUUACAUCGCAUGGUGUUUGGUGGAAAGCUUUUGCGGUUCAGGAUGGGGCCCGCGGCCUAUCAGCUUGUUGGUGGGGUAAUGGCCUACCAAGGCGACGACGGGUAGCCGACCUGAGAGGGUGAUCGGCCACACUGGGACUGAGACACGGCCCAGACUCCUACGGGAGGCAGCAGUGGGGAAUAUUGCACAAUGGGCGCAAGCCUGAUGCAGCGACGCCGCGUGAGGGAUGACGGCCUUCGGGUUGUAAACCUCUUUCACCAGGGACAAAAGAAAAAAGUGACGGUACCUGGAGAAGAAGCACCGGCCAACUACGUGCCAGCAGCCGCGGUAAUACGUAGGGUGCGAGCGUUGUCCGGAAUUACUGGGCGUAAAGAGCUCGUAGGCGGUUUGUCGCGUCGUCUGUGAAAUUCUGCAACUCAAUUGUAGGCGUGCAGGCGAUACGGGCAGACUUGAGUACUACAGGGGAGACUGGAAUUCCUGGUGUAGCGGUGAAAUGCGCAGAUAUCAGGAGGAACACCGGUGGCGAAGGCGGGUCUCUGGGUAGUAACUGACGCUGAGGAGCGAAAGCGUGGGUAGCUUACAGGAUUAGAUACCCUGGUAGUCCACGCCGUAAACGGGCUCCUAGGUGUGGGGC